UUUAGUCCUGACUUUAUAGCCAAUUACCCCCCAACUUACACAUGCAAGUCUCCUCACCCCUGUGAGUAUGCCCUUUCCUUCCCUCUCGGAGUAAGGAGCCGGUAUCAGGCACCCCCCUGCCCAAGACACCUAGCAAAUAGCCACACCCACAAGGGCCACAGCAGUGAUUAACAUUAGACAUGAGCGCCAGCUCGACCUAGUUAGGGCGCCGUUAGGGCCGGCAAAACUGGUGCCAGCCGCCGCGGUUACACCACGAGGCCCAAAUUGACUUUAUUCGGCGUAAAGAGUGGUUAAAGACAAAAACAAGUAAAGCUAAACCCAAGUUAGGUGGUAAUAUGCCUACUCGGGGGAAACCCAAAACGAAAGUUACUUUACUCAUACUUGAACCCACGACAGCUGGGGCACAAACUGGGAUUAGAUACCCCACUAUGCCCA
Molecule: ribosomal RNA, 435 nt
Filed under: Ischnocnema verrucosa
Lineage: Eukaryota; Metazoa; Chordata; Amphibia; Anura; Brachycephalidae
Description: partial 12S ribosomal RNA
Rfam family: Bacterial small subunit ribosomal RNA
Source: RNAcentral